AAGCUCUUUAACCUCACCAAGCCUCGGUUUCCUUACCUGUAAAACGGGAGUGAUAUCUAAUCCGGAAGGGUUAUUGUAAAUAAUAUGCUUGAUAAUGCCUGUCAAGUGCUUGGCUUAGUGCUUGGCACAUUUGGUCUAAUACAUAUUCAUCAUCAUUAUUAUUAUCAUUAUUCUCUGCUUGUAAUGCCCUUGUCUCCUGUUCUAUCAAACCCUUCAAUAAAGGUUAGCUUUUAGUGGUUUUUGUUAUUUUUAAGUAAUGCCUGAAGCAGGAAAAUGAACAUGAUAAAGGACUGCUCCUUGGGGAAGAUGAUGUAAUAUUAACUUUGUUCAAAAGAAAUAGCUAACAAAAGGGAGUCCGGGUAGCACUGAAGGGCAGGCGAGAAAUACAGCACAUGAGCCUGCGUGGAAAACCGUGCCCCCGGAAGAGACAGAGAAAAGUAGGGCCACCCGCCUCUUGUUUUGGGAACAAUUUUCGAUCUGACGUGUCAGGAAGAAUAUAUCUAUCAUCCUUAAAUGCGGUCAGGACUCUCAACCCAGAUGUUUGAUGUCCCGGGAUUUAAGGAAUUUGCAGAUACGAGGCAGAAGCAUUGCUUGUGAUUGUUGAGAAACAACACAAAACAGAGGAGAUGGGCAAAGACUGGAAACAGCUCGCUUUUCCAAAAACAAGAAUCCAGAAGCUCUGGAUUGAGCAGUCUAGGAUCAAACUGAUGAAACUCUAAACAGAUAGAGUGGUAGAUUGCUCGUUUGUGUGCACGUAGAAAAUAUAUAGAUACCCAGGAGCUAGCAGAGGGUCACUAAAAAGAAAUCAUCCAAAAUUAACAUGGUUUUUUACUAGGUAUAUUUUUCGAGGAUAUUAGAGGAAUAUGAUUGGCAUAUGGUUGAUUUCAGUAAAACAUUUAAUGAGGUCAUUCCUUCUCACAUUGUGGAUAAGAUGGAGAACUGUGGUCUGGGCACUGGUACAACGAUGUGACUUCAGAAAUGUCCCCUAGAAUGCCAGUUGUGCCCCCCAAGUGCCCCCCAAGAUUUCAGGAGAAUCUCUUUAAAGGUGGUCUGUCCAAUGGCUGUGUAAGUGACACAGAACUCAUGCUCAUAGAUGCAUAGACACCACCCAGCCAGGAAAGUUCAAUUACCAGAUGGUCACAGUGUCAGGAUGCAAACAGGUCCCCAGCACCUGAAGUGAUGGGCUUACUCCGAACAAAAUGUAAGGCAGACAUGCAAGUGAUUUCUGUAGAUAACCCACCCUCGAGGAGACAGAGCGUAACUUCCCACUCCCAAAGUGCAGACUGUACCUUGUGACUUCCUUCCAAGAAGGACAGUGUAGCGAGGGGCAGGGAUGAUCACUGUAACCUCAUGGCAGAGAAACCUGACAAACACCACCUCAGCCAGGUGCUCAAGGUGGACAUCAAUAGGGACAAGUCAUGUUGAGGGCAUGAUUGCAUACCUCGGUAUGAUGUGAUAACAGUGAUGCUUUAUCUCUGUGGUCCCCCUCCCCAAAACCUGUAACCCCCAUCUUAUUAGAGAAAAAUAUUAGGCAAUUUCUAAUUGAGGACGUUCUACAAAAUGCCUGGCCAGCGCUCUUCAAAACUGUCAAGAUCAUCAAAAAGAAAUGCUAGGACACUUUCACCCUCUAGAGGAGCCUGAGGAGAUAAUGACAACUAAGUAUAAGGUGACGUCCUAGAUGGAACCUUAGGUAAAAACUCAGGAAACCUGAAUACAGUAUGGUCUGUGCGUAAUAAUAAUUGUGGGGAAAUGUAGCACAUUAACAUGUAAGAUGUUAGUAACAGAGGAGAAGGGGUGUGGAACUCUCUGCACUAUAUUCACAGUUUUUCUGUAAAUCUAAAACUAUUCUGAAAUCAAAAAUGCUUAUUUUAAAAACGCAAUGGAUGUAAGUGUAAACUCCUGCUUUUAACAUAAAAAACGACUUAUAAUGUAAGUGUAUCUUGGGGAACAUCCAGAUUAAAUACAGCUUAUGAGAAAGGCAUCCCAGGCUUUCUGUCGACCACAUCUCAGUGUCUGGUGCUGGGCAGCACGGCUGUAAGAGGCCGCGAAGCCCACUGCUCCUCCAGCACUACCUCCAGACAGCUUGGCGGCUCUCUACUACUCAGACCACAGGAGGACUCUCAACUCUGCAGCCCAAGCUUCCUGGGUUCAAGCCCAGGCUCUACCCCAUUCUAGCUGUAAGAACCUGGCCAACUCACUUAAUCUCUCGGAUCCUCAGUUUCCUCAUUUGCAAAGCGGGCAAACAAUGAUGAAUGCUUCAUAGAGCCAUUGGCGGAGCAAAGCCCCCCUGGCCCAUGCCAACUGCUCAGGAGGUGCAAUUCUGUGGGCAACAGAGGUCUGACUGGGGCAAGGCAGGAUCUCUGCCUUAUUUUUUGAGGGUAAACCUUCUUUCAGAAGGGUGUUCUGUAUCUCAGAGAAUAGCAUUAGAUGAGGGGAGCGAUGGGGAACUCGUGAUACUGACCUUGGAGAAACCACCAGACCAGAGGAGCUAUUGCUUCAAUGCAAAGUGAAAGCCAGCAAAGGGAAGUGACAGUCUUCGUGAUUAAUUUACUGAAACCCUAAGUACCUCCCUAAGCCUUUCUGGAUCUGUGCUUCUUUAUCCUCCACGUACAGAUAAGGACACAUUUUGGUCAAUUUUGCAGGGUAACUGAGAGGAUAAAAUGUGUUAAUAAAUAUGGAAGAGCACUGAAUGAGAAGCAACUGUUGUUAAGCCUGGAGGUACAAUAGACGGUGACAGAUGGAUCUGGAUUUACAUAAAAUGACACAGACGCUGAUUUUCUGAAUAUUUUUGCUAAAAUCAACAACAG
Long non-coding RNA from Herpailurus yagouaroundi (jaguarundi), 2807 nucleotides. RefSeq lists it as uncharacterized. The record is from RefSeq and is a predicted model, not a curated record. Lineage: Eukaryota; Metazoa; Chordata; Mammalia; Carnivora; Felidae. The transcript has 2 exons.